RNAcentral lists this long non-coding RNA (377 nucleotides) under Salmo salar (Atlantic salmon). RNAcentral's name for it is "lncRNA (ENSSSAG00000089908.1)". The record is from RNAcentral. Lineage: Eukaryota; Metazoa; Chordata; Actinopteri; Salmoniformes; Salmonidae.
GUGGAACGAGUCAGAGCUAGGAGGACAGAGAGAGAGAGUGAAGCAGUAUUUCACCUGGUCAGGAAACCGUCUCCAAGAGAGAAAAGAUCCAGCAGGACUGUAAGUAUUCUCUAUUAACACAGUCAUCAUUUGUAUUGUGUCUACUGUGUCUAUUUUCUGUUGUGUCUGUUGUCUUUACUCUUAGAAAAAAAUGGUUAUUCAACGGGUUCUCCUAUGGGGACAGCCGAAGAACCCUUAUUGGUUCUAGAUAGCACUUUUUCUACUUAGAGUGUAUUGUGUCUCUAUGGGGGAUGAAAAUACCAAUUUGAACCCACAUUUACAGCAUAAAUGAUCUAAUGGUUUACGUGCUGUAGUACUAGGAGCUAGGGCUGUUACGG